UACGUAGGGUGCAAGCGUUGUCCGGAAUUAUUGGGCGUAAAGAGCUCGUAGGCGGUUUGUCGCGUCUGCUGUGAAAUCUCCAGGCUCAACCUGGAGUCUGCAGUGGGUACGGGCAGACUUGAGUGCGGUAGGGGAGAAUGGAAUUCCUGGUGUAGCGGUGGAAUGCGCAGAUAUCAGGAGGAACACCGAUGGCGAAGGCAGUUCUCUGGGCCGUAACUGACGCUGAGGAGCGAAAGCGUGGGGAGCGAACAGG
Molecule: ribosomal RNA, 253 nt
Filed under: uncultured bacterium
Lineage: Bacteria
Description: partial 16S ribosomal RNA
Rfam family: Bacterial small subunit ribosomal RNA
Source: RNAcentral